This 75-nucleotide transfer RNA is filed under the name Micromonospora chalcea. RNAcentral describes it as "tRNA-Val". It matches the Rfam family "tRNA". From Rfam's summary of the family: Transfer RNA (tRNA) molecules are approximately 80 nucleotides in length. Their secondary structure includes four short double-helical elements and three loops (D, anti-codon, and T loops). Further hydrogen bonds mediate the characteristic L-shaped molecular structure. tRNAs have two regions of fundamental functional importance: the anti-codon, which is responsible for specific mRNA codon recognition, and the 3' end, to which the tRNAs corresponding amino acid is attached (by aminoacyl-tRNA synthetases). tRNAs cope with the degeneracy of the genetic code in two manners: having more than one tRNA (with a specific anti-codon) for a particular amino acid; and 'wobble' base-pairing, i.e. permitting non-standard base-pairing at the 3rd anti-codon position. The record is from RNAcentral. RNAcentral also lists the same sequence under 4 other names. Lineage: Bacteria; Bacillati; Actinomycetota; Actinomycetes; Micromonosporales; Micromonosporaceae.
GGGCGCGUAGCUCAGUGGGAGAGCACUCGCCUUACAAGCGAGGGGUCGCAGGUUCGAAACCUGCCGCGCCCACCU